AGGUAAGCCAGCUACAGCUGGAGGGGGUGUGCAGUCACCACAGUGAAGCGCAGCAGUUUUCCGGGCAGCCUGCUUCUGCUCUGUCUCAUUCCAUUGCCCGGUGAUCCGGCAGCCUCCACAUGGAGAGGCUUAAUUGGGAAAGGAAGAGGCGGUUUGGAGCAGGUCAUUUCUAUUCCAAAGGCAGCCCUCAUUUCUGCUCAUGCUGACUGAUUCCUUUCCCCUGUCCCACCGAGUUUUGCAGAGGCAUCCAUGUUACAACUGACACUGAGAUUGCCUGAAAAAUUAUCUUGACCAUCAAGACAAAUGUGAAAAUGGGUUUAAGAUGGAACUUCUGGACAUGGUUAAAAUGUGAAUCAUUUGGAAAUCAGUCAUCAUCCCAGUUGAUAAGAAAACCCCAUUGGAAAACCCAAGUCAAGGAGACUUCCUGGCUUCCGGCAUCUUACAACCCUCUAAAUAAGAGGAAAAGUUCAAGUGAGUGUCAUCACUCCCCAGCAGAGAGACCCUUGGGGUUGUGUCUCUCCUCCAUCCUCCUGGAGCCUGACACGCGGACCUGAGAC
This is a long non-coding RNA of Bos indicus x Bos taurus (hybrid cattle), 557 nucleotides long. Lineage: Eukaryota; Metazoa; Chordata; Mammalia; Artiodactyla; Bovidae. The record is from Ensembl.